Molecule: long non-coding RNA, 557 nt
Organism: Acanthopagrus latus (yellowfin seabream)
Lineage: Eukaryota; Metazoa; Chordata; Actinopteri; Spariformes; Sparidae
Exons: 2
Source: RefSeq, a predicted model, not a curated record
UCCGGAGCCUCGCAGGAUUCCUCCGUUUCCCACCACAGCGCAGCGAACACACCUGUCAGGUGAACCUCUCCAGAACAGACGGGAGCUGUAGAGGAGGGAGAGCGCCGCCCGAACCGCUGAGGUUUACCGCCGACAGGAAGUCCCUUCCAGCCGUACGGCGGCGCUCGCUCCGUCAGCUGCUCCCAGGACCGUUUGGAGAAACUUCCGGCCCACUGAAGAACCGGAACCGAGAACCUGAACCGGUUUCUGAGGAGAACAUUGUUCCUCGCUGCCUUCCUCAGAGAACAUGGAGCUUCGACCUGCUGACCAACAGAAACAUGCAGGAAACAUCAGAGAACACAUGGAGUCAGUGACAAGAUGAUAUUUAUCAUUUCAGCUCUGACAAACAGAAGUGAGACGAGUCGUCUUCUGUUCAACCAGGAGUCCGAAAAAAAGAGUUUAAUAAACUGUUCAAUUAAUAAGAAGAAUAUGAAAGUGGUGUAAAAGUGAACGAGUGGUUUCAGACAUGAGUGGUGUCAGAACGUAAAGGUUAAUAAAGGUCAUGUUAUAUAAAUACA